Long non-coding RNA from Alnus glutinosa, 564 nucleotides. RefSeq lists it as uncharacterized. The record is from RefSeq and is a predicted model, not a curated record. NCBI's taxonomy places the organism in Eukaryota, Viridiplantae, Streptophyta, Magnoliopsida, Fagales, Betulaceae. The transcript is spliced from 3 exons.
UUUGAUUUAAAAAAUUAAAAGAGGGUGAUGUGACAUCAAACAACAAAUUUUGAAAUUUUUUUUAUUUAGAAAAUGAAAAAGAGGCGAUGGGGGACGGAAAACAAACCAGAGAAAACGAGAGAGGGAGAGAGCAGACCAAAGAGGGCUUGGAAGAAGAUUUGUCAUGGUUACAACACAAGGUGCUUGGCCGAGUCAGGGCCUGCGAUUGAUGAAUUUUGAGUUGGGUAAUUUCCUUUCGGACGAUUGAGCUAACUUUUCAAAGAGAUGUGGGUUCUUCAAUUGUAAACCAAGAUUCAUACACUGUUGAGCAUGGCUCUUUAUAUCAUCCUCCGAUUAGCGGGACCAAGGAUCGGGGGAUGGCGGGGACCUCCCUAUAUGCAAUAUAAUUCCUUUAAAAGUUGGUUCCUAGAUAUUUUUUAGAUGUAUUAAAAUAUAUGUUAAAUGUACAAAUUUUAAAUUUUCGUAUUGUACUUUAUUGCCCUGAGAUUAUUUGUUAUUGUUUUACGUCAGUAAGUUUAUGCCCCUUAUUUCCUAAUUUGGGGGCGCGACAUAUGGAGUAUCAAA